This 86-nucleotide transfer RNA is filed under the name Bifidobacterium animalis subsp. animalis. RNAcentral's name for it is "tRNA-Leu". The record is from RNAcentral. Lineage: Bacteria; Bacillati; Actinomycetota; Actinomycetes; Bifidobacteriales; Bifidobacteriaceae.
UGGUGCGAGCGGCGGGACUUGAACCCGCACGAGCAUGAGCUCACUGCCACCUGAAGACAGCGCGUCUACCAUUCCGCCACGCUCGC